This 486-nucleotide ribosomal RNA is filed under the name uncultured bacterium. RNAcentral's name for it is "SSU rRNA". It matches the Rfam family "Bacterial small subunit ribosomal RNA", at positions 26 to 523 of the family's 1533-position model. The record is from RNAcentral.
AGGACGAACGCUGGCGGCGUGCCUAACACAUGCAAGUCGAACGCGCUCCAUUCGGUAGCAAUACUGAUGAAGAGCGAGUGGCGAACGGGUGAGUAGCACGUGAGCAACCUGCCCCGAAGACCGGGACAACACCGGGAAACCGGUGCUAAUACCGGAUAUCCCUAUCGGACCGCAUGAUCUGAUAAGGAAAUGGAUUCCGCUUCGGGAGGGGCUCGCGGCCUAUCAGCUAGUUGGUGAGGUAACGGCCCACCAAGGCAUCGACGGGUAGCUGGUCUGAGAGGACGAUCAGCCACACUGGGACUGAGACACGGCCCAGACUCCUACGGGAGGCAGCAGUGGGGAAUCUUGCGCAAUGGGCGAAAGCCUGACGCAGCAACGCCGCGUGGAGGACGAAGGCUUUCUGAGUUGUAAACUCCUUUCAGCAGGGACGAUAGUGACGGUACUGCAGAAGAAGCACCGGCAACUACGUGCCAGCAGCCGCGGUAA